UUUUUUUUUUUUUUUUUUUUUUCCUCCCCCUUUGGUGAACUCGCAGUACUUGGGCUGAGCCCGAAAUCUCGCGAGAUGCUGCAGGCGUCAGUGCGGCUUCCCACUAGGCGCGUGGUACCCGAGGCCGGGCCGGAGCCGCAGGCCAGCCGCGAUUCCUUCGGGCGAUGCUGGGGGCUUUCCGGUCGGGGCCGCAGCCGCUUCCGGAGCCGCGGGCGAGGUGCGUUCCCCAGCCUGGUUUGCUCUGGGCUCUGACCCGCCGCCGCGAAUCUCCGCUCGUAACUCCGGGCCUGAACCUGGAGGAGGGAGGAUUUCCUCUGUGCAGCUUUCGAGCGGUAGACUCACCCUGCCAGGCAGACCUAGAUUGGCAUAACCAGAGAUCAGUUCCAGUUGUGAUGCAGUGGGUGUCUACACACUUCUGAUGACACCUUUAUUUUAAAAGCUGAUGUUCCAAGGUGCAAGCGGUCUUCUCUGUCUUCUUUAUGGCCAGUAAAAUUCUCCAGAAGAGAUUUAUGGCAGCCUCACUCCCAGUAGUUUCUGCAUUUAGUGAGAUAAGUACCCUGGGAUGUCACUCAAGUCUCUUUUUAAACCUAUAUCCACUUCACCUCAUUUGGCUC
RNAcentral lists this long non-coding RNA (614 nucleotides) under Pan troglodytes (chimpanzee). Its description in RNAcentral is "lincRNA". Lineage: Eukaryota; Metazoa; Chordata; Mammalia; Primates; Hominidae. The record is from RNAcentral.